Molecule: ribosomal RNA, 446 nt
Filed under: uncultured bacterium
Lineage: Bacteria
Description: bacterial SSU rRNA
Rfam family: Bacterial small subunit ribosomal RNA
Source: RNAcentral
UCCAGACUCCUACGGGAGGCAGCAGUGGGGAAUAUUGCACAAUGGGGGAAACCCUGAUGCAGCGACGCCGCGUGAGCGAUGAAGUAUUUCGGUAUGUAAAGCUCUAUCAGCAGGGAAGAAAAUGACGGUACCUGAAGAAGAAGCCCCGGCUAACUACGUGCCAGCAGCCGCGGUAAUACGUAGGGGGCAAGCGUUAUCCGGAUUCACUGGGUGUAAAGGGAGCGUAGACGGCGACGCAAGUCUGGAGUGAAAUCCCGGGGCCCAGCCCCGGGACUGCUCUGGAAUCUGCGUCGCUGGAGUACGGGAGGGGCAGGCGGAAUUCCUGGUGUAGCGGUGAAAUGCGUAGAUAUCAGGAGGAACACCGGUGGCGAAGGCGGCCUGCUGGACUGCAACUGACGUUGAGGUCCGAAAGCGUCGGGAGCAAACAGGAUUAGAUACCCCUGUAA